UGCCUAUCUCGGAGAAUGUUCAAAUGUAAUAUGAAAGCCUUUUCAUUAAUAGAAACCAUAAAUACAGUCCGUGAUUAAACAAAGCAACUUGCAUAAUCGAAGAGAAAGGUGAAAUAUACACAAUUCAAUCUAGGAAAGAUUGAGAUACAGAUACAUGCACUAACGAAAUAAUUAAGGAGACAAACAGCAGAUUUUCUAUUACAACGCCUUAAUUAACAUGCUCAGAAUGACCUAUACCAGGACUAUGACCUGGGGUCGUAGGUCGAAAAGAAUCCACAGACCCUUCAGUGAAUCUAAAUCCAUGUUUCUGUACUCUAGCAUUCAAAACAAUGCUACUAGGGUCCGGUGUUGUUUCUUUUGCAUCCGGAAUAUUAACAAAUUUCGACAAUCUUCCUUUAGUGAGAAAAACUUCAUUUGAUGCGAUAAUAAGUAGAAAAAACAAGCAAGUAAAGAAUUUGGCCAUAUUAUUUUUUAUUUUUAAUGUUCCAGAAGAACAAAAGUUUCUGAUGGAAAACGGAGAAGGAGAGAAUGAAAUUGAAGAAAA
Molecule: long non-coding RNA, 544 nt
Filed under: Olea europaea subsp. europaea
Lineage: Eukaryota; Viridiplantae; Streptophyta; Magnoliopsida; Lamiales; Oleaceae
Source: RNAcentral